GGCUGGUCUGAGUGCAGUGGUGUUUACAACUAAUUGAUCACAACCAGUUACAGACUUCUUUGUUCCUUCUCCACUCCCACUGCUUCACUUGACUUGCCUAAA
Y RNA from Callithrix jacchus (white-tufted-ear marmoset), 102 nucleotides. It matches the Rfam family "Y RNA". From Rfam's summary of the family: Y RNAs are components of the Ro ribonucleoprotein particle (Ro RNP), in association with Ro60 and La proteins. Lineage: Eukaryota; Metazoa; Chordata; Mammalia; Primates; Cebidae. The record is from Ensembl.